RNAcentral lists this ribosomal RNA (373 nucleotides) under uncultured bacterium. RNAcentral describes it as "bacterial SSU rRNA". It matches the Rfam family "Bacterial small subunit ribosomal RNA", at positions 521 to 896 of the family's 1533-position model. The record is from RNAcentral.
UAAUACGGAGGGUGCAAGCGUUGUCCGGAUUUAUUGGGUUUAAAGGGUGCGUAGGCGGCCCUGUAAGUCAGUGGUGAAAGCCUCCAGCUCAACUGGAGAACUGCCAUUGAUACUGCAGGGCUUGAGUACAGACGAGGUAGGCGGAAUUGAUGGUGUAGCGGUGAAAUGCAUAGAUACCAUCAAGAACUCCGAUUGCGUAGGCAGCUUACUAGGCUGUAACUGACGCUGAGGCACGAAAGCGUGGGGAGCGAACAGGAUUAGAUACCCUGGUAGUCCACGCCGUAAACGAUGAUUACUCGAUGUCGGCGAUAAACAGUCGGCGUCUUAGCGAAAGCGUUAAGUAAUCCACCUGGGGAGUACGCCCGCAAGGGUG